This 246-nucleotide ribosomal RNA is filed under the name uncultured bacterium. Its description in RNAcentral is "partial 16S ribosomal RNA". It matches the Rfam family "Bacterial small subunit ribosomal RNA", at positions 524 to 769 of the family's 1533-position model. The record is from RNAcentral.
UACGAAGGGGGCUAGCGUUGCUCGGAAUCACUGGGCGUAAAGCGCACGUAGGCGGAUUGUUAAGUCAGGGGUGAAAUCCUGGAGCUCAACUCCAGAACUGCCUUUGAUACUGGCGAUCUCGAGUCCGGGAGAGGUGAGUGGAACUGCGAGUGUAGAGGUGAAAUUCGUAGAUAUUCGCAAGAACACCAGUGGCGAAGGCGGCUCACUGGCCCGGUACUGACGCUGAGGUGGCGAAAGCGUGGGAGC